RNAcentral lists this unclassified non-coding RNA (241 nucleotides) under uncultured fungus. RNAcentral's name for it is "sequence contains ITS2". Lineage: Eukaryota; Fungi. The record is from RNAcentral.
AACGCACAUUGCGCCCCUUGGUAUUCCGGGGGGCAUGCCUGUUCGAGCGUCAUUUCAACCCUCACGCGUAGCGUGGUCUUGGGCUCUGCCGGCAACGGCUUGCCUUAAAAUCAGUGGCGGUGCCAUCGAGCUCUACGCGUAGUAAUAAACCCCUCGCGUGUGAGUCUCGGCGGUCGCUGGCCAGCAACCCCCAAUUUUUAUGGUUGACCUCGAAUCAGGUAGGGAUACCCGCUGAACUUAA